This 253-nucleotide ribosomal RNA is filed under the name uncultured bacterium. RNAcentral's name for it is "partial 16S ribosomal RNA". It matches the Rfam family "Bacterial small subunit ribosomal RNA", at positions 524 to 776 of the family's 1533-position model. The record is from RNAcentral.
UACGUAGGGGGCAAGCGUGGUCCGGAAUCAUUGGGCGUAAAGAGCGUGUAGGCGGCUCGAUAAGUCCGCUGUGAAAGUCCAGGGCUCAACCCUGGAAGGCCGGUGGAAACUGUCGGGCUAGAGUCCGGAAGAGGCGAGUGGAAUUCCCGGUGUAGCGGUGAAAUGCGCAGAUAUCGGGAGGAACACCAAUGGCGAAGGCAGCUCGCUGGGACGGUACUGACGCUGAGACGCGAAAGCGUGGGGAGCAAACAGG